GCACUGCUGAGGAGUCCCAUAAUAGAACGAAACGGCCGUUCAGUGU
Molecule: non-coding RNA, 46 nt
Organism: Schistosoma rodhaini
Lineage: Eukaryota; Metazoa; Platyhelminthes; Trematoda; Strigeidida; Schistosomatidae
Source: Rfam